GUCAAUUUAAUGUGGGCGGACAUUUUGAAAUUAGGCACUUCUCGGAUAUCAUAAUGGAGUGAGUAGGCCGCUUAGUUUUUGUUUGAACGCCACAGUUUGAGCUCGCUGCGAGGAGUUUUUGGAACGGCCCGGCCUCAGCGUGUCGGCGGCCAUGUUGGUUAGCCCCGCUGAAACACCUGCGAAGGAGAAACGGCGCGAAGCAUUAGCAUCAGAUGAGGAUGGAUUUGAGGGGAAAAUGGCGCCGAAAAGAAAAUGGGGAGAAGAGGAAAGUCACUUCAAUCAAGCGGAAAUCUGUUGACGUCAUCAUCCAAAGGACUCAAACCCAUCUGGAGUGAAAACCUGCCUCUGCUGGAGGUCAAAGGUGCUGCGAUCCAGUAACCCAGGUGAGGGGCGGUGAAGGUCCACAUCAGUUUCCCAUCUACCAGCGCCAUCUUUCCCAGUCCUUUCCUCAUCCAUCCACCUGCGGCGAAAUAAAUCACCAUGAAACCAGUUAGCAUGCAGCUGGUCCGGUAGAUGGACGGACGGGUGACGCAUCAGAACUGACCAGUAGUUCUGCUGAAGAACCAGGCCGGAACAACGUCGGACUCCUGGAGCCCUCGGCUCUCGGGAACGUUGAGGCUGAUGUGGAUCGGGCCGCUGACGUUCAGCUCCACGUCUCCGGAGAAAAGCCGCACACUGACGGCCGCCACCGGACUCAGCUCCACGCUCACGAACCCUGAGAACAUCACAACCGAAGUCAGGAUGACGGAUUCCUACGACGACGUCACAUCAAAACGGCGGCAGGCGGCUGAUGAUGACUCGGGUCUAAAACUGGAUCUCUGCAGCUGGCAAUCGUUUCUAAAUAGCCCAGCUGGUCCGGCGGCGACAGGCGGCCUGGAGAGACACGACUUCCUGUUAACGAGGGCGGCCCGGACACGGAGGGCGGUACGGGUCCAGAACCCUCACUGAGUUCCUGCAUGGAGAGGAGACGUUACAGGAUGUUACAUCAGGAUGAGUCCUCCGUAGAUGAACGUUGAAGCAUUUCUGGAGUCAACGUGAACAUUUGAACUUCUGCAGCCAAACAAGCAGCAGGUGAGGCGACCAGAAUCACGUUAUUUUCAUUUCCAGAUUUUCUUUACAACGUGAUAAAAUUAACAGUUCAGAUCCAAACAUCUGGUCAUCGCUGCCGCUACAACAAAUAAAUCCUUCCUUUGCAUAGACUCCAAAUCAUAUUUCUGUUUAAAUAAACAUAUUUCCACUUUAUGGAAAGAAAACUGCAGCUAAAAACGCGUAAAUCUUUACAAGGACACCGAAUAUUGGCAGUAAAAAAUAAAAAAUGGAGUAUCAGGUAGAUAAAGUGUAGCAGCUGUAAAAGAACCAUAAUGUCCUCCUGUUGUCCAGAUCAGCAGCUGUUUGCUUGUAAUUUAUGUACCAAGUCCAACAUAUUAGAUCUGCAGGAAUCAAGCAGGUUCAAACAGUUGGAAACGUCCAAGGCUGUGGAGAGCGUUCGAUACAUUAUCACACAUUAAAGAUUAAAAAGUCAAAGUUUAGGAUUUACUCUAAAUCCAACGACGGGCUCCAGAAAUCUCAAUGAUUUCAAAGUGCAUUAAAAAGAAUAAAAAAUCUGGAAACCUUUUGUUUUGUAAAUAAUCUGUUGUCUCCAUAAGGAGCAUCAUUUCUAAAAGCUCUCCAGUUUAUUUGAAGCUUUGCUGUUUUAUGCUAGCGUCUGGAGCAGCUUCAUAAAUUAGCGCGUAGCUCGUAAAAUCGUCUUCACCUUGACUUGGGGACAUCUGCUGCAUAAAUCAGCCGCAGCAAAGCGACCAGGAGACUCCGGCCUUCCCCUCCACUUUCACGAUUCAAUCACAUCAAAGCAUCAUCAGAAAUCUGUUCAGUAAAAACACAUCAGAACUAAUGAGAAGGUUUAACAGGCCUGCCUUAUUUUGUGCUUUUCUUCUCCAGCUGGCAUAGAGGUUUUGUUGAACUUGGUUUAGAAAUAACAGAUGAGUUCUCAUAUUUCAGAAUAAGAGCUGAUAAAUAUCAAAAAAUGUUUGUUCAUCUUUCUGAGUUAUCUAAAACAAAGCAAUCUAUUUUAUUCACAAUAAAUUCCCCAAAUCAUUUGCUGUACUGUGUUUGAGUUUCCUUCUGGAACCUUCAGCAUUUAUUUCAGCUCUUACUUUUUCAUGAAGGUUGUAAUCAGAUUAUUUAAUCUUCCUGACAUGUUGCUCCUCAUCAUCUCUGACCUGCAAAAGAUUUCUCACUUAAAAGCAACAAUAAAGUGCCAUGAAGUCGUAUCGAUGGCAAACACAACACUCAAAAUUUACAAAAUAUGUAAAUAAAAAUCAACUUUUAUAAUGUUCAAUAAUUAUUACCCUUUGUUUAGCAUAAGUGUUAAACCUUCUGAUACCUUCUGAUUUUAGUUAGCCAUGCUGUGCUAGCUUGAUGAGCUAAGCAGCUUGAUAAAUUUGACUGGCAGCCAAUCUGAAAGUUUACAUAAUAGUUUCAAAAUGGAUUUUAUUUUACUGUGAAAAUUGGUUAAAAUGUUCAGAUUAAGGAAUGUAUUAGAAUGAAACAUUAACCCUGGCAGAUAAAGUGUUAAUCUGAGUUUAACGGUGAUUACAUCCCAUAACAAAAGUUAAACUCUCCACACCUGCAGCUGUAGCAGUUAGACUGUGAGCACAGAGAAAUAAUAUCUGGAGCUUCUGUUUCUGGAGUCGACAGCCAGACCAUGAAGGAGACUGGAGGAUCUAUUUUCUAAAGUUUUUUUGUGUUUUUUAAUAAAAUACUAGUUUUUUCCUAACUUGUUCCACCUGCAUAUUUUCCUACACAAAUUAGCAUUAGCUAAUUUCUGCAAAGUCUGUUUUUACAUCCAUGUUGAAAUGAUGCACAAGUAAAAGGUAAAAUUACAGGCUCACUAAUAUAAAUGAUCAAACUUGUUUUAGGGUUAGCACAACUAACGUUUUAGUUAGCGGCACCCACUGCCCCAAAUGGUUAAAUUUAGCACAUUAGCUACUGAUAAACACCAUGUUGGAUGAUUGUUUUAGCAUUAGUUUAGCUAAUGUUUUA
This is a long non-coding RNA of Gambusia affinis (western mosquitofish), 3042 nucleotides long. RefSeq lists it as uncharacterized. The transcript has 5 exons. NCBI's taxonomy places the organism in Eukaryota, Metazoa, Chordata, Actinopteri, Cyprinodontiformes, Poeciliidae. The record is from RefSeq and is a predicted model, not a curated record.